Molecule: small nuclear RNA, 105 nt
Filed under: Meriones unguiculatus (Mongolian gerbil)
Lineage: Eukaryota; Metazoa; Chordata; Mammalia; Rodentia; Muridae
Source: RNAcentral
GUGCUCACUUCGGCAGCACAUAUACACAAAAUUGGAACAAUACAGAGAUUAGAAAGGCCCAACCAUUAGGAUGACUUGCAAAUUGGUGAAUUGUUCCAUAUGUAU